RNAcentral lists this ribosomal RNA (253 nucleotides) under uncultured bacterium. RNAcentral's name for it is "partial 16S ribosomal RNA". It matches the Rfam family "Bacterial small subunit ribosomal RNA", at positions 524 to 776 of the family's 1533-position model. The record is from RNAcentral.
UACGAGGGGGGCAAAUGUUGUUCGGAAUCACUGGGCGUAAAGGGAGCGUAGGCGGGUUUCUAAGUCAGGUGUUUAAUCCCGGGGCCCAACCCCGGACAGGCACUUGAAACUGGGAAUCUUGAAUAGUGGAGAGGUCAGUGGAAUUGGAGGUGUAGCGGUGGAAUGCGUAGAGAUCUCCAAGAACACCAGUUGCGAAGGCGGCUGACUGGACACAUAUUGACGCUGAGGCUCGAAAGCAUGGGGAGCAAACAGG